RNAcentral lists this ribosomal RNA (254 nucleotides) under uncultured bacterium. Its description in RNAcentral is "partial 16S ribosomal RNA". It matches the Rfam family "Bacterial small subunit ribosomal RNA", at positions 524 to 776 of the family's 1533-position model. The record is from RNAcentral.
UACGUAGGGUGCAAGCGUUAAUCGGAAUUACUGGGCGUAAAGCGUGCCGCAGGCGGCUUCUCAAGUCAGGGGUGAAAGCCCAGAGCUCAACUCUGGAAUUGCCUUUGAGACUGAGUGGCUUGAGUACGAGAGAGGUGAGUGGAAUUCCCAGUGUAGAGGUGAAAUUCGUAGAUAUUGGGAAGAACACCGGUGGCGAAGGCGGCUCACUGGCUCGUAACUGACGCUCAUGCACGACAGCGUGGGGAUCAAACAGG